RNAcentral lists this ribosomal RNA (321 nucleotides) under Triticum aestivum (bread wheat). RNAcentral describes it as "partial small subunit ribosomal RNA". Lineage: Eukaryota; Viridiplantae; Streptophyta; Magnoliopsida; Poales; Poaceae. The record is from RNAcentral.
AUGCUGCUACUUUCUGUAUGGAGCUGGGAGCGUCUGCCUGUUGGACGCCCGAAGAGCGUCAGGUUUAAUCCUUGGUAUGAAGAUGAACAUGACGAAUUAUGGCGCCCCACCUGGGCUUACAAGUGGGAUGUGGUUUCCGAGAUGACGAACGAUGUCAAUCUCAUGUACCAGAAGUACGUUGCCGAGUUGGACACGAUUACGCCUGAGCAGGUAACGAGGUCAUUACUUCAGUCAUUUCUCAUGUUUGCCAGAAAAAAAGUCACCAAUUUUGUAUUGUUGCCCUAUUUCAUAGGUGGAAUUGCAGCCAUAUGGCGCGGAUGA